CCUACGGGAGGCAGCAGUGAGGAAUAUUGGUCAAUGGGCGGAAGCCUGAACCAGCCAAGUCGCGUGAGGGAUUAAGGCCCUGCGGGUCGUAAACCUCUUUUGCCGGGGAGCAGUGGUCCGGACGCGUCCGGACCGGGAGAGUACCCGGAGAAAAAGCAUCGGCUAACUCCGUGCCAGCAGCCGCGGUAAUACGGAGGAUGCGAGCGUUAUCCGGAUUUAUUGGGUGUAAAGGGAGCGUAGACGGCAGCGCAAGUCUGGAGUGAAAUCCCAUGGCUUAACCAUGGAACUGCUUUGGAAACUGUGCAGCUAGAGUGCAGGAGAGGUAAGCGGAAUUCCUAGUGUAGCGGUGAAAUGCGUAGAUAUUAGGAGGAACACCAGUGGCGAAGGCGGCCUGCUGGACGGUGACUGACGCUGAGGCUCGAAAGCGUGGGGAGCAAACAGGAUUAGAUACCCCUGUAGUC
RNAcentral lists this ribosomal RNA (461 nucleotides) under uncultured bacterium. RNAcentral's name for it is "partial 16S ribosomal RNA". It matches the Rfam family "Bacterial small subunit ribosomal RNA", at positions 338 to 795 of the family's 1533-position model. The record is from RNAcentral.